CAGCCUCCCUCUUCAGUGUAAGCAGUGGCUGCCCCAGCCCUCUGUUUCCGGCUUCUCCGACUACCCAGGUCCCUCCCUGGAGCUCUGACGACACAGAGAAGAGAAAGUGGGCUGGAGGAGGAAGAGGAAGAAAGUGGGAUGGGGAGACUGUGAUGUCAUCAGAGGACUUACAGGCAUAUCUGAUGUGGGUCAAACUCCACUUAAAAGCUUUGUGACUGUGUGUCAACCUCUCAAACGGAGACAAGGAUUGUGCCCACUUGACACGGCCUAGGCCAGGGUGAGGUGCUGAGUGUGCUGAGUUGGAGGAGGUGCUCACCUUCAGGUCAUAUAAGUGUGGAGUUGGCUAGACUACUGGUAACGACACCCCCACUUGCAUGACCCUGAGAGUUGGUUCCUUGCUUGCCUCACCCUCCUCCGGGCCCUGCCAUCCCACCAGUGGCUGUGAAGAAUGCAGGAGGAAAAGCAGAGAAAAAAGAAUGUUGCAGUCUGGGAACUGCAGGUUGCAACCCAACAGUGAGUCACGAAAUCAAUCAGAAACAGUUAUUUUCCAUCAACCAGAUUUCCAUCUUGUUGGAAGUUUGUGGACGUUCUACAAGUGUUUGGAAGAACAGCUUACGACCACUCAGUGGUGGUUCCUACCCAUUCAGGCCUGAGCGGUGGGAGCCGCAGCAGACCAGUCUUCAGUGGGAGGCGGAGCACUCCAGUCUUCAGUGGGAGGCGGCGCAUUCCAAUCUUCAGUGGGAGGCGGAGCACUCCAGUCUUCAGUGGAAGGCAGAGCACUCUAGUCUUCAGUGGAAGGCGGAGCACUCCAGUCUUCAGUGGGAAACUGCUGAAUAGGCACGGAAGGCGCCUGCACGCCUUGAGACCAGUCUGCCACCUCAGGCUGAGUAGCAGUGAACUCUGGAGCUGGAGCAGCCCAUUUACCCUGAAAUUCCUCCUUGGUCACAGCCUUCUCAGCUGCUGCCUGCUCUUCCUUUUCAAUCUCUUCAGGAUCUCUGUA
Long non-coding RNA from Bubalus bubalis (water buffalo), 1000 nucleotides. RefSeq lists it as uncharacterized. The record is from RefSeq and is a predicted model, not a curated record. Lineage: Eukaryota; Metazoa; Chordata; Mammalia; Artiodactyla; Bovidae. The transcript is spliced from 3 exons.